Molecule: long non-coding RNA, 757 nt
Organism: Bos taurus (domestic cattle)
Lineage: Eukaryota; Metazoa; Chordata; Mammalia; Artiodactyla; Bovidae
Source: Ensembl
GAUACAUUUAUUCACUGGACUGUAAAAUGAAUGACCAGGAGCUAACUGUGGGUAAACUCAGAAGUCGAAGGAGCUAGUUGCCCGGGGACUUGACGGUAUACCUUUUUUGAAAUAAACCUUGCGUGGUGCUGAAGGGGCUGAAAGGAGAUACCCCACGUCCAAGGUCAGGAGCGGUAGCCAAGAGGAGAUUUCCCACAUCCAAGCACAUAACCCACAAGAGGCCCUAGUAUGCAGAUGAGGAUGUGACAGUGAUUUUGGAGUUGCCUUCAACUUUGGGGGAACAGAAGAAACUGAAACACAAAACAAACUUAGAGAAGCUGAAAGAAGCUAAAGUAUUUAAAAACAUAUUAAAUGGGAAUCACUUCUUACCUUGAAAUGUUCUCAAAUGUCAUAGCACAAGAGAACCGCGGUGGCAUUGUGAAUAUAAGACCAAAAGAAGAUGGCAGCAACAGACCAUGGAACACGUCUGUACUGUUUUCCAGUCUCCACGGCCACCACCUGCCUCCACAGGCACCACCUAAGGAUUCUCAGAGCUGCAGGAAUGAGAGUUUUUUCAACUUUUAUCCUCAUGGUGACUCCCCAUGCAGUUUCUUGAGGGCUGUGGUAAACCAUUUCUCUGUAAUAAAAAUACCCAUGAUACUCUUUUCUCUACUGCCUCUUUGAAAUGUAAGAUGGCAGUAUUUAAAAAAAAAAGAUGGCAGUAUUAAAAUUGCUUAUAUUGAAUGUACUGUCAUUUCCAAAAUUCUUCACAUGGUCA